RNAcentral lists this ribosomal RNA (253 nucleotides) under uncultured bacterium. RNAcentral's name for it is "partial 16S ribosomal RNA". It matches the Rfam family "Bacterial small subunit ribosomal RNA", at positions 524 to 776 of the family's 1533-position model. The record is from RNAcentral.
UACAGAGGGGGCAAGCGUUAUUCGGAAUUAUUGGGCGUAAAGGGCGCGUAGGCGGCUUGGCAAGUGGAUGGUGAAAUCCCUCGGCUUAACCGAGGAACUGCCAUCCAGACUGCUUUGCUUGAGGCCGGGAGAGGUGAGUGGAAUUCCCAGUGUAGCGGUGAAAUGCGUAGAUAUUGUCAAGAACACCUAUUGCGAAGGCAGCUUACUAAGCUGUAACUGACGCUGAGGCACGAAAGCGUGGGGAUCAAACAGG